Molecule: ribosomal RNA, 245 nt
Filed under: uncultured bacterium
Lineage: Bacteria
Description: partial 16S ribosomal RNA
Rfam family: Bacterial small subunit ribosomal RNA
Source: RNAcentral
UACAGAGGUCCCAAGCGUUGUUCGGAUUCACUGGGCGUAAAGGGUGCGUAGGCGGUCGGGUAAGUCUGGUGUGAAAUUCCGGGGCUCAACUCCGGAACGGCAUUGGAUACUAUUCGGCUCGAGCGUUGGAGGGGGGACUGGAAUUCUCGGUGUAGCAGUGAAAUGCGUAGAUAUCGAGAGGAACACCAGUGGCGAAGGCGAGUCCCUAGACAACUGCUGACGCUGAGGCACGAAAGCCAGGGGAG